Long non-coding RNA from Gymnodraco acuticeps, 298 nucleotides. RefSeq lists it as uncharacterized. Lineage: Eukaryota; Metazoa; Chordata; Actinopteri; Perciformes; Bathydraconidae. The transcript is spliced from 2 exons. The record is from RefSeq and is a predicted model, not a curated record.
AGACAACAAGGUGAUUUUCAUCACCUCGUGGCUGAACUGAGGCUGGACAGCCAACGACAUCACCAAUAUUUUCGGAUGAGUGCAGAGCAGAUGGAUGAACUUCUGUCCCUCCUGGGCCCUGAACUGACCAGACAAUCCACAAAUUUCAGAGCUGCCAUAGAACCCAAGCAGAGACUGGCUGUUGCACUGAGAUACUUGGCUUCCGGGGACUCACUGGUCAGCCUAGCAUUCAGCUAUCGCCUAGGAUGCACUACUGUGAGAGACGCUGUCCAUUUGGUGUGUGCAGCCAUUGAAAAAA